Molecule: long non-coding RNA, 1010 nt
Filed under: Homo sapiens (human)
Lineage: Eukaryota; Metazoa; Chordata; Mammalia; Primates; Hominidae
Description: non-protein coding lnc-DAZ3-2:1
Source: RNAcentral
UGAUAUGGGCCCAACACCUGGAUGAUGUUACUCUUCUGCCUAGGUCAUGCGUAAAGAGGGAAUUAGGGCAUAUUGCUUGGCCCAGUCCCGUAAUGAUAUGACUCUCCUGCUUGUGCCAGAGCCACAGAAGUGUGCUUGGUGACAUAAUCUUUGAGGCUGUCACAUCACCAAGAUUAUAUUGUAUCACUGGACCAGCAUAAAGCUGACACUUCUGACUAUGCCCAGCCUUCAAAUAAUACUACACUGUAUAAUUGGCUCAACACCCAGGUGAUAUUGUUCCAUUUACCUGAGACCAGAUAAAAAGCCUAAUGAUGACGCUUGUCCCCAGAGCCAGGACACGUGCAGGACAGGAUCAUUACUCUCAUCCCUGCCCCAGAUUUUCACAGUGGGCUUGCUGACAUAUUAUGUGAAACUGUACCCGGGUGAAGUGACUCUUCUGACUAGGCCCAGCAUACAAAUGAGAUUAUGCUGUAUCACUGGCUCAGUGUCGAGGCCCAGAUCACAGAAGUAAUUGUGCCAUAUGUGGAACAAGCAGCUAAGCAAUAGAUAACAUCCAUCGUGGCUCUGCCUUCAAAGGGAAAUUUUACAUAUGUCACUGGGACCAUCACCCAGAUGAUGUCCUGCCCACUAAAAGAAUUGUGACAUAACGCUGACUGCAAAAACUGGGUAAUGCAACUCUCCUCUUUAUUCUGGAGUCUGCCAAAACAAGGGAUUAUCACAUAUUGCGGAGUCCAGCACCCAGGUGAUGUAAAAUUUUGUCAUAUACCCAGCUUCAGAUACCAUGCAAUAAUACAACUAUCAUACCUGGACCCAAAGAGGAGAGAUAUUUUGAUUCUCAUUGCCAUUCUUAUGGCCACAAGCAAAGUAAUGGUUCUCAUAGUGGUAUAAAGUUCACACAGUAUUAUGACACUCCCAGCGUAUCAUAGAAAAUGUGAGUAGUACAAUGAGUGUUAUAACAGGGAACAGCAAACCAAUGCUAUUGUGAUUAUUGGAUUCACACCCAGCUGACG